This 70-nucleotide transfer RNA is filed under the name Escherichia coli. Its description in RNAcentral is "tRNA-OTHER". It matches the Rfam family "tRNA". Rfam says of the family: Transfer RNA (tRNA) molecules are approximately 80 nucleotides in length. Their secondary structure includes four short double-helical elements and three loops (D, anti-codon, and T loops). Further hydrogen bonds mediate the characteristic L-shaped molecular structure. tRNAs have two regions of fundamental functional importance: the anti-codon, which is responsible for specific mRNA codon recognition, and the 3' end, to which the tRNAs corresponding amino acid is attached (by aminoacyl-tRNA synthetases). tRNAs cope with the degeneracy of the genetic code in two manners: having more than one tRNA (with a specific anti-codon) for a particular amino acid; and 'wobble' base-pairing, i.e. permitting non-standard base-pairing at the 3rd anti-codon position. Lineage: Bacteria; Pseudomonadati; Pseudomonadota; Gammaproteobacteria; Enterobacterales; Enterobacteriaceae. The record is from RNAcentral.
GCCCGGAUGGUGGAAUCGGUAGACACAAGGGAUUUAAAAUGUGCGGGUUCAAGUCCCGCUCCGGGUACCA